AUUUUGCCUUCCCCACCCUGCCACAGGCAAUGCUUUUCUCUCUCUCCUUUCCCUUUUUUAUCUCUUCUAUUACUCAGGGAGACCAUCUUGCCCAGAGACCACAUGUUGAAACUCCUGGUUGGAGGAUGGAUUAACGAUUAUGGGAGCAAGUUUGAGCCCUGCCAGUUUGAUAUUGGGUGCUAAGCAGAGUGGCUAAUGUAUAUGUUUUGUCACACGUAUUUUACUCUGGCCAGAAUGGAAAGAUAUAAUUUUUGUUUGUGUUGCAGCUUGGCCCCCAGGGCUGUGGUGCAGCCGUCUGGGUCACUAGGGCCACUCAGGGAAAGAAAACCCAGAAGCCUGGCAUGCUAGCAAAAGGGUCCAGAAGCCCCAAUUUAUCUUGGGACCACAAGAGGAGAGGAACUUACUCAACUCAUAGGUAUUUGAGGGUACAAACCCAUGGCUGGGCUCAGCUUUUAAAAAGUCUUAUCUAAGAUUCCUUCUAUGGAACAAAGUUCCUUCAAGGCCAGUUUACAAAGAGCUUAUGUGAAAAAAAUUAUUCUUGCUGCACUUUAUACAAAUAAUCAGGCCUAGUAUAAUAAAGCAAAUUGAUCUUAUCAUAAUUUUUCUCUAGUAAAAAUGGGAAACUGGCGAGAAAUAUGUUUCAAUGACUGUGGUACACUUGUUAUUAAAUUCUAGUCUCAUCAGUUGUUUUUAAAUUUGUUUCUGGAAUUUAGGGCUAACCUUGCUUGUUCCUGUGAACCAACAAGUGAUCUCUAACUGCUGCUCAGAAGAAACAAGAGGGAUGGGCUCCUCUGCUGCCAGUCUGCUGGAAUUUGCUGGGGGUCCACUCCCGACCCUGUUUGCCUAGGUAUCACCAGCGAAUGCUCAACUGGAAAUGCAGAAAUCACCCACCUUCUGUGCCAAUCUCGCUGGGAGCUGCAGACCGAAGCUGUUCCUAUUCAGCCAUCUUGCUAGCAAAUGCCUGAAUGUUUUCUUAAACUGAACACCUAUUGAUCUUCCAGAUAUCACCAAGAAUCAUGAAUGGCCCUCACCAUACUGAUGCGUUCUGACUGAGCUUCUCUCUACCCUGAACACAAGAGACCCUAAUAGGCAGGAAUGUCAUCACCCCUAUUCAGCCUGAAGAAGUUAUAGAAGAUGGAUCUUUUUCCCUCUGCAACCUUUAGGAUUAUGGGUUCUUUUAUAAAAAGAGAGGGGGGAAAUGUCAGAGGAGCGUGAACCAGAGCAACUCCAUCUUGAAUGGGAACUGGGUAAAAUGAGGCUGAGACCUAAUGGGCUGCAUUCCCAGAUGGUUAAGGCAUUCUAAGUCACAGGAUGAAAUAGGAGUCGGUGCAAGAUACAGGUCAUGAAGACCUUGCUGAUAAAAUAGGUUGCAGUAAAGAAGGUGGCCAAAACCCACCAAAACCAAGAUGACCACAAGAGUAUCCUCUGGUCAUCUUCUCUGCUACACUCUCACCAGAGCCAUGACAGUUGACAAAUGCCAUGGCAAUGUCAGGAAGUUUCCCUAUAUGGUCUAAAAAGGAGAGGCAUGAAUAAUCCACCCCUUGUUUAGCAUAUUAUCAAGAAAUAACCAUAAAAAUGGGCAACCAGCAGCCCUCGGGGCUUCUCUGUUUAUGGAGUAGCCAUUCUCGUAUCCUUCUACUUUCUUAAACUUUCUUUCACUUACAAAAAAAUAGUGGAACUCAGAAGUAGAGAAUAAAAUGGUGGUUACCAAGUUCUGGAGAGGUGGGGGAUUAGAAGAUGUUGUUCAAAGAAUACAAAAUUUCAGUUAGGCAGGAAGAAUGAGUUCCAAAGAUCUAUUGUACAAUACAGUGAUACAUACUUAAUGACAAUGUACUGUAUAUGUGAAAAUUGCUAAGAGCACAUUUUCGGUAUUCUCACCACAAAGAAAUGAUGUGAGGUAAUGCAUAUGUUAAACAGCUUGAUUUAGCCAUUCCACACAUAUACAUAUUUCAGAACAUCGUGUUGUAUCCCGUUAAAUAUGUACAAUUUUGUUUGUCAAAAAGUGAAAAGAGAAAAGAAGGUAAACUCUGUUAUUGCAUGCAGUGGUCCACAAAUAUCAUUUAUGUCAAACUGUUAAACAUUCUUGUUCAAAUUACCUAUAUCCUUAAAAAUUUGUUAACUAAACUGUUUUAUCAGUUACUGAAUUAUGUUUAAAUCAUUACUUAUGACUGCAAUUUUAUUCAUUUAUCCUUUUAUUUCUGUCAAAUUUUGUUUUACAUAUUUCAACUAUUGAUAGGGUUGAAUACAAAUUUAUAAAUAUGCCUUACAACUGAAUUGAUCCCUUUAUCAUUAAAAAUAUUCAUCUUUAUAUAAGGUAAUAUCUCUUGAUUCAAAGUAUAU
Molecule: long non-coding RNA, 2340 nt
Filed under: Homo sapiens (human)
Lineage: Eukaryota; Metazoa; Chordata; Mammalia; Primates; Hominidae
Description: HSALNT0282878
Source: RNAcentral